This 253-nucleotide ribosomal RNA is filed under the name uncultured bacterium. RNAcentral's name for it is "partial 16S ribosomal RNA". It matches the Rfam family "Bacterial small subunit ribosomal RNA", at positions 524 to 776 of the family's 1533-position model. The record is from RNAcentral.
UACGUAGGGUGCGAGCGUUGUCCGGAAUUAUUGGGCGUAAAGAGCUUGUAGGCGGUUUGUCGCGUCUGCCGUGAAAAUCCGGGGCUCAACCCCGGACUUGCGGUGGGUACGGGCAGACUAGAGUGUGGUAGGGGAGACUGGAAUUCCUGGUGUAGCGGUGAAAUGCGCAGAUAUCAGGAGGAACACCGAUGGCGAAGGCAGGUCUCUGGGCCACUACUGACGCUGAGACGCGAAAGCGUGGGGAGCAAACAGG